Molecule: transfer RNA, 86 nt
Filed under: Pasteurella multocida
Lineage: Bacteria; Pseudomonadati; Pseudomonadota; Gammaproteobacteria; Pasteurellales; Pasteurellaceae
Also listed under: 4 other names
Description: tRNA-Leu
Rfam family: tRNA
About the family: Transfer RNA (tRNA) molecules are approximately 80 nucleotides in length. Their secondary structure includes four short double-helical elements and three loops (D, anti-codon, and T loops).
Source: RNAcentral
GCCUGAGUGACGAAAUUGGUAGACGUAGCGGAUUCAAAAUCCGCCGAUGAAUAAUCGUGUCGGUUCGAGUCCGACCUCAGGCACCA